UAGGGAAUCUUCCACAAUGGACGCAAGUCUGAUGGAGCAACGCCGCGUGAGUGAAGAAGGUCUUCGGAUCGUAAAGCUCUGUUGUUGGUGAAGAAGGAUAGAGGCAGUAACUGGUCUUUAUUUGACGGUAAUCAACCAGAAAGUCACGGCUAACUACGUGCCAGCAGCCGCGGUAAUACGUAGGUGGCAAGCGUUGUCCGGAUUUAUUGGGCGUAAAGCGAGCGCAGGCGGAAUGAUAAGUCUGAUGUGAAAGCCCACGGCUCAACCGUGGAACUGCAUCGGAAACUGUCAUUCUUGAGUGCAGAAGAGGAGAGUGGAACUCCAUGUGUAGCGGUGGAAUGCGUAGAUAUAUGGAAGAACACCAGUGGCGAAGGCGGCUCUCUGGUCUGCAACUGACGCUGAGGCUCGAAAGCAUGGGUAGCGAACAGGAUUAGAUACCCUGGUAGUCCAUGCCGUAAACGAUGAGCGCUAGGUGUUGGGGACUUUCCGGUCCUCAGUGCCGCAGCAAACGCAUUAAGCGCUCCGCCUGGGGAGUACGACCGCAAGGUUG
This 550-nucleotide ribosomal RNA is filed under the name uncultured bacterium. RNAcentral describes it as "partial 16S ribosomal RNA". It matches the Rfam family "Bacterial small subunit ribosomal RNA", at positions 355 to 896 of the family's 1533-position model. The record is from RNAcentral.